AGCAGCCGCGGUAAUUCCAGCUCCAAUAGCGUAUAUUAAAGUUGUUGCAGUUAAAAAGCUCGUAGUUGAAUUUCGGGGUUUAUCCGUUGGUCGGGCUUUUGGGUCUGUACUGGCGUGAUGGAUUCCUACCUUCUGAAUAACCAGCAUGUCAUUAAUUUGGUGCGUUGGGGAAGCAGGACUGUUACCUUGAAAAAAUUAGAGUGCUUAAAGCAGGCUAUUGCCUGAAUACAUUAGCAUGGAAUAAUGAAAUAGGACGCAUGGUUCUAUUUUGUUGGUUUCUAGGAUCACCGUAAUGAUUAAUAGGGAUAGUUGGGGGCAUUAGUAUUCAAUUGUCAGAGGUGAAAUUCUUGGAUUUAUUGAAGACUAACUUCUGCGAAAGCAUUUGCCAAGGAUGUUUUCAUUAAUCAAGAACGAAAGUUAGGGGAUCGAAGACGAUCAGAUACCGUCGUAGUCUUAACCAUAAACUAUGCCGACUAGGGAUCGGACGAUGUUAAUUUUUUAAUGACUCGUUCGGCGCCUUACG
RNAcentral lists this ribosomal RNA (523 nucleotides) under uncultured Acaulospora. RNAcentral describes it as "SSU rRNA". It matches the Rfam family "Eukaryotic small subunit ribosomal RNA", at positions 569 to 1092 of the family's 1831-position model. The record is from RNAcentral. Lineage: Eukaryota; Fungi; Glomeromycota; Glomeromycetes; Diversisporales; Acaulosporaceae.